AAUAAUGUAGUUUUGUUUGAUAGGGAAGUUCAAUUUGGGAAAGCUGUAUGAAAAGAUUGGAUUCAAUAAGGAGAUCAUAUCAAGGGGAAAGUUUGCUGAGCUCACUGCGGCAGAGCAGCGAUCUUUCAGGCCGGAAGAAGCAGAGCUUUUUGCAAAGUCUGCCCAGCAUGCUUAUACACAAUUUCGAGAUAAAGCAGCCUAUUCAAGAUCAAUGCCUGUAGAUAAGAUGGAAGAAAAUGCACAAGGAAGAGUCUGGACCGGAAGUGAUGCUGCUUCUCGAGGACUUUGUUGAUGCUUUAGGUGGAAUGGGCCGUGCAGUUGCCAUAGCAAAGCAAAAGGCUAACAUUCCCCAAGAGCAACCGGUGACACUGGUUGAAGUGUCAAGACCAUCCCCUUCGUUGCCAGAGAUUUUGAGUGGCAUAGGGG
This is a long non-coding RNA of Chenopodium quinoa (quinoa), 426 nucleotides long. RefSeq lists it as uncharacterized. Lineage: Eukaryota; Viridiplantae; Streptophyta; Magnoliopsida; Caryophyllales; Amaranthaceae. The record is from RefSeq and is a predicted model, not a curated record. The transcript has 4 exons.